UUACACACUUUGACAUUUGAGACCACUGAGUUCAAAGAAAGAAAAGAUGAUCAUAAUAUUCAUAGCAGUCUUGGCACUCACUUCAUUCUGCCAUCUCCUAGCUGAGGAUGGGAGAAUGGGCGGAUUAUUUUGUUGCCUUUUUGUUCCUCCUUGCUUAUUGGGCGUGCUCCCCUAUUUAAAUAUUAAGCACCGCCCCCCUGCCGCCCGCCGCCAUACCUUUAAAAGUAUCACGUUUUAUUUGUCUCUGUGAAAGUUAAAGAUGAUAGAUGUGAAGGCACUUAGCACAGGACUGGCCCCCUAAAUAAUUGGCAGAUUUGAAUUCACAUCCUGCUUGGUAUGAAUACUGUCCACACGGUCCUUUGAAAAGUUAGUAGAAAAGAUCUUGGGCCACUGCUUCUUGUCUUUCCAAGUUAGCAUUUCCUGUUGCGGCCCUACCAGUGAGUCAUCACACUCAGAGCCUUGGAACAUAAGUUUUAUUACUAGAGCUAUAGUACUGGGAUUGUUGGAUGCUUAGAGAUCUUCCCCCCCAGGGCCACCCACACGCCCCUACAGUACCACAGAGCCUGCCAAGGACAUGGAUGCUUACGGUACCCUGACCCCAUGGCUUGACCAAGUCAGGGUAUACUGUUUGAUGCAAAACAGGAACUCGCUGUUGGAUUAUCAUAAUACAUAACGCAGUGGAUGUUUUUAACUGUUAGGAAACCCACUAAUGAAGUUAGUCGUCUUCGGCCUGUCUUUAAUAAUAAUUAAAUAUAUUAGAAAAUACACAGAUCCAGUUCUCAGCUGUGCUUGUCUACAUCACUAGCAGGACUUGCAUCUUGUUCCGAAAGUUUUGCAAAGGGGAGGAAAGUAGUUGUUCCCCCCUCUUUUUUCCUAUGAGUAUGAAAAAUUCUAGUUGGCCAGGCACGGUGUCUCACGUCUGUAAUCCCAACACUUGGAAAGCCAAAGUAGGAGGAUUAAUUGAGGCCAAGAGUUCAAGGCCAGCCUGGACAACAUAGCAAGACCCCAUCUCUAAAAAAAAAAAGUUUAAGUUUCAAUAAAUCCUGCAUAAUUUCUGGGAUUCUUGAAAGCAUGGGCUCUCUCCGCACUGAGUCUAGUUUCACUGCUUCUUACUGGUUUUAAUCUUUAAUGUUAUACCUAUGUUUAUCCCUUAUUAAAAUUUCCCCCUGCUUUAAUUUCAGUGUACCAGUGUCAAACAUCUUAUAAUUCACAGUGUACUCUCAAGGCUGGCUCAUAGUUAUUUUUUAAAAUUUUACUAAACAUUUGAUUUUUCUCUAGCAACUGAAAUUAACCUCUGAACUUUUUAGUGUGUUUAUUUACAAAUAGAGCAUCUCUAAGCGAGUUUUUGAACUCAGCAUUUCAUUUUGAAGGUGUCUGGAGUUGAAUGUUACUUGGUGAUAUGAGACUUCCAUUCUUCCAGGUGGAAGAUGAGCUCAGCUCCCCAGUGGUGGUGUUCAGAUUUUUCCAGGAAUUACCAGGCUCAGAUCCGGUGUUUAAAGCCGUCCCAGUGCCCAACAUGACACCUUCAGCAGUCGGCCGGGAGAGGCACUCGUGUGACGCGCUGAAUCGCUGGCUGGGAGAACAGCUGAAGCAGCUGGUGCCUGCAGGCGGCCUCACAGUCAUGGAUCUGGAAGCUGAGGGCACGUGUUUGCGGUUCAGCCCUUUGAUGACCGCAGCAGUUUUAGGAACUCGGGGAGAGGAUGUGGAUCAGCUCGUAGCCUGCAUAGAAAGCAAACUGCCAGUGCUGUGCUGUACGCUCCAGUUGCGUGAAGAGUUCAAGCAGGAAGUGGAAGCAACAGCAGGUCUCCUAUAUGUUGAUGACCCUAACUGGCCUGGAAUAGGGGUUGUCAGGUAAAGUCUUGGCCUGCCACUUGAUGUUGGAGACUUUUCUGUAUAAAGAACACGGGUGGGUCAUUUUCUGAACCACCUUAGAAAUCCAAGAUGAAUGUGUAGUCACAAUAUGCUUAACGAAAAUGCAACUCGGUUUUCUGGGCAUUUACAAAAGCACAGUGCAAGCAGGCAAUUUGGCCAGCAUGGCGCUCAGGGAGGGGAGUUGCUGAAUGUUCUGUCUGUAGGUGCCGACUCUCAGCUACCUAGGGAGAAGAUGCCAACAGGUAUAUAUCACUCACUGAGAAUGGUUACUAUCCAGGGCAUAUAGAGAAUUGCAAAUCAGUAAGAAAAAGAACCCAGCUCUCGGGGAGAGAACUGGGUGCAGUCCUAUGGCUGCUUUCUCGCCUUCAGAGGUGAGGCAAACCUCUUUUUGUAUUGCCCAUGAGACUUCCAGACCUUGUAUGGAACUAAAGACUUAGGCUUUCGGCUGGGCACGGUGGCUCAUGCCUGUAAUCCCAGCACUUUGGGAGGCCAACAGGAGCAUAGAUGACUUGAGGCCAGGAGCUUGAGUCCAGCCUGGACAACAUGGCGAAACCCUAUCUCUAGAAAAAAUACAAAAAUUAGCCAGAGGUGGUGCUGCACACCUGUAGUCCCAGCUACUCGGGAAGCUUAGAUGGAAGGAUCAACUGAGCCCAGGAGGUGGAGGUUGCAGUGAGCCAAGAUCAUGCCACUGCACUCCAGCCUGGGCCACCAAGUGAGACCCUGCUUU
This 2599-nucleotide small RNA is filed under the name Pan troglodytes (chimpanzee). RNAcentral's name for it is "retained intron". The record is from RNAcentral. Lineage: Eukaryota; Metazoa; Chordata; Mammalia; Primates; Hominidae.